GAUGAACGCUGGCGGCGUGCCUAAUACAUGCAAGUCGAGCGAACAGACGAGGAGCUUGCUCCUCUGACGUUAGCGGCGGACGGGUGAGUAACACGUGGAUAACCUACCUAUAAGACUGGGAUAACUUCGGGAAACCGGAGCUAAUACCGGAUAAUAUAUUGAACCGCAUGGUUCAAUAGUGAAAGACGGUUUUGCUGUCACUUAUAGAUGGAUCCGCGCCGCAUUAGCUAGUUGGUAAGGUAACGGCUUACCAAGGCAACGAUGCGUAGCCGACCUGAGAGGGUGAUCGGCCACACUGGAACUGAGACACGGUCCAGACUCCUGCGGGAGGCAGCAGUAGGGAAUCUUCCGCAGUGGGCGAAAGCUUGACGGAGCAACGCCGCGUGAGUGAUGAAGGUCUUCGGAUCGUAAAACUCUGUUAUUAGGGAAGAACAAAUGUGUAAGUAACUAUGCACGUCUUGACGGUACCUAAUCAGAAAGCCACGGCUAACUACGUG
RNAcentral lists this ribosomal RNA (497 nucleotides) under uncultured bacterium. Its description in RNAcentral is "partial 16S ribosomal RNA". It matches the Rfam family "Bacterial small subunit ribosomal RNA", at positions 28 to 507 of the family's 1533-position model. The record is from RNAcentral.